GCCAUCUAGAGGACAAGCGCAGUACAGCAGGGAGUGACACAUCAUGCCUCCCCUCAUCCUCCCGGGCAGCCAGUCCGGACUGCAUGGGAUCCCUCCGGAGCACGGUGACCUUGGUACCUCCCCCAGUCUCUCUGCAAUACUUUUUCUUUUUUACCCCACUUAGCUGAACCACCAGGGGUUCUCACUAGAAGCUGGGCAGAUGGCUGUGACAUUCUCUUGACCUUUUUCCUGUCUCCAAAUUUUUGAGCUAAAAGACUUCUUUUCUGCAUCAAGUGUACCACUUCAGACAUUCUGUUAUAGAAAUAGUAAGUCUUUAGAUCUCAUCUGUUUUUAGGUCUAGAUUGGAAUACGAGAAGACCAAGUAGCAAUAAAAUUAUGCAUAUUUGAACUUAUA
Molecule: long non-coding RNA, 394 nt
Organism: Peromyscus leucopus (white-footed mouse)
Lineage: Eukaryota; Metazoa; Chordata; Mammalia; Rodentia; Cricetidae
Exons: 2
Source: RefSeq, a predicted model, not a curated record